ACGGGUGAGUAACACGUGAGUAACCUGCCCUUGACUCUGGGAUAACCUCCGGAAACGGAAGCUAAUACCGGAUAUGACGCACGGAGGCAUCUCCUGUGCGUGGAAAGAAUUUCGGUCAAGGAUGGACUCGCGGCCUAUCAGGUAGUUGGUGAGGUAACGGCCCACCAAGCCUACGACGGGUAGCCGGCCUGAGAGGGUGACCGGCCACACUGGGACUGAGACACGGCCCAGACUCCUACGGGAGGCAGCAGUGGGGAAUAUUGCACAAUGGGCGAAAGCCUGAUGCAGCAACGCCGCGUGAGGGACGACGGCCUUCGGGUUGUAAACCUCUUUUAGUAGGGAAGAAGCGAAAGUGACGGUACCUGCAGAAAAAGCACCGGCUAACUACGUGCCAGCAGCCGCGGUAAUACGUAGGGUGCGAGCGUUGUCCGGAAUUAUUGGGCGUAAAGAGCUCGUAGGCGGUCUGUCGCGUCUGCUGUGAAAUCCCGAGGCUCAACCUCGGGCCUGCAGUGGGUACGGGCAGACUAGAGUGCGGUAGGGGAGAUUGGAAUUCCUGGUGUAGCGGUGGAAUGCGCAGA
Molecule: ribosomal RNA, 578 nt
Filed under: Leifsonia sp. HRRP168
Lineage: Bacteria; Bacillati; Actinomycetota; Actinomycetes; Micrococcales; Microbacteriaceae
Description: bacterial SSU rRNA
Rfam family: Bacterial small subunit ribosomal RNA
Source: RNAcentral